AUAGCCGGCUGUGUCACAAAGCCAUAUGUGCAUUUUGGACACACAAUGAUUCAAAUGAACCAGGACCUCUGUUUCGUUUAGAUUUCGACAAUUACAAACCACUUUGAGUUUCAUCCAUGGCUACCAAGAAUCUCAAAGUUUUUCAUGUUCUCACGUUAUUCUGCUUUCUUCUUUUACGUUGUGCAAACUCACUGAACUAUCCCGCCGUUUUCAACUUUGGUGAUUCCAACUCCGACACCGGCGAGCUCACUGCCGGCAUCGGUUUCCGGCUUCCUUAUCCAUAUGGAGAGCUUUACUUCAAUGCUUCGUUGUCAUCCGGUGGGAGGUUUUCCGAUGGCCGUCUCAUCAUAGAUUUUCUCAUGGGGGCAAUGAAUCUUCCAUUUCUAAAUCCCUAUUUGGAUUCAGCUGGCCUCCCAAGUUUCCGAAAUGGGUGCAAUUUUGCUGCUGGAGGGGCUACUACACAUCCAGCAACUGCAACAUCUGUCUGCCCCUUUUCAUUUGGGGUUCAGGUAUCUCAGUUUUUGCGAUUCAAGGCUCGUGCUCUUCAAUUGCUAGCUGCUAAAGGUAAGGAUUUUGAGAAUUAUCUACCCUCGGAAGAUUCCUUUCAGAAGGGGCUGUAUGUGUUUGACAUAGGCCAAAAUGAUCUUGCUGGUGCAUUUUAUUCUAAAACACUGGAUCAGAUUCUUGCUUUUAUUCCAACUAUUUUGGCACAGUUCCAGUUAGGAAUACAGAAAUUAUAUGAUCAAGGUGCUAGGAACUUUUGGAUACACAACACAGGUCCUCUAGGGUGCUUGACUCAGAAUGUAGCCAAAUUUGGAACGAACACAUCAGAGCUUGAUGAGCACGGAUGUGUUAGCGCACACAACCAAGCAGCUAAAACUUUCAACCUGCAGCUUCAUGAUCUCAGUAAAAAGUUGCAAGGCCAAUAUUCUGAUGCAAAUGUCACAUAUGUUGAUAUCUUCUCUAUAAAAUAUGACCUCAUUGCAAAUUAUUCUCAAUAUGGUUAGUACAUCUUGGUACCUUAAAUAACUCUGCCUUUGGACUUGCUGUUUCAGUUUACAUAUUUGAUUGUGAAUGAAUUUAUUCUGCAGGGUUUCAACAACCUAUUAUGGCUUGCUGUGGGUAUGGAGGUCCGCCUUUGAACUACAACAGUCGGGUUUCUUGUGGAUCAACAAGGAUCUUGAAUGGCACAUUGGUCACAUCCAAAGGGUGUAGCAAUAGUUCUGUGUAUGUUAAUUGGGAUGGAAUUCAUUACACACAGGCUGCAAAUCAGUUUGUAUCAUCAAAGAUCCUCACGGGAAAGUAUUCUGAUCCUCCAUUGUCAGACAACAUUUUCUUUUCUCUGAAGUUGUGA
Fragaria vesca subsp. vesca is the source of this 1354-nucleotide RNA transcript. It is a transcript of the gene named GDSL esterase/lipase At1g54790-like, with no coding region annotated. Lineage: Eukaryota; Viridiplantae; Streptophyta; Magnoliopsida; Rosales; Rosaceae. The record is from RefSeq and is a predicted model, not a curated record. The transcript is spliced from 4 exons.